This 300-nucleotide unclassified non-coding RNA is filed under the name uncultured Piskurozyma. Its description in RNAcentral is "sequence contains 5.8S rRNA gene, ITS2". The stretch from base 1 to 71 matches the Rfam family "5.8S ribosomal RNA", at positions 84 to 154 of the family's 154-position model. The record is from RNAcentral. Lineage: Eukaryota; Fungi; Basidiomycota; Tremellomycetes; Filobasidiales; Piskurozymaceae.
GUGAAUCAUCGAAUCUUUGAACGCACCUUGCGCUCCAUGGUAUUCCGUGGAGCAUGCCUGUUUGAGUGUCAUGAAAACAAUCAACCUUGGUUUUGGGGCAACCCUCGAUCUCGGCUUGGACUUGGGCGUUUGCCAUCUUCACGGGUGGCUCGCCUCAAAUGAAUUAGCUGGACCUGUUUGUGAGGAAUGGUUCUACUCGGCGUAAUAAGUAUUUCGCUGAGGACAUGGCUUCGGCUGUGGCCUUCCUCUCGACGAUCGUCUGCUUUCAAACCCUGUUCUCCUCGGAGACGCAUUUUUUAU